AUACGUUUCCUGGUUUUCCUCUGCCAGCUUGGAUAGGUUGAAUGAUAGGAGGUUUCUUUGGAUAUAUAGCCUUUUUGACAUGUUUAAGAGUAAGAAACUAGUGAUAAAUAUUUGAGAAAAUUAAGACUUUAUUUUUUAGAUUUAAAGGAACACUAUAGGGUCAGUAACACAAACAUGUAUUUCUGACCCUAUAGUGUUAAAACCACCAUCUGCCCCCUCCCCCUAAAUAUAGUAAAAUUGUCCUUUUAUUCAAGUCUGAAGCUGCUGCCUCUGCCCCUGAUCUGCCUGCUUGGCUGACCUAAUCAGAAGUGAUUCUCUGAGCCAAUCACAAUGCUUUCACAUAGGAUUGGCUGAGACUGUCAAGGAAGCAUAUCAAGGGCACAGCCAUG
Non-coding RNA from Pelobates cultripes (western spadefoot toad), 389 nucleotides. NCBI's taxonomy places the organism in Eukaryota, Metazoa, Chordata, Amphibia, Anura, Pelobatidae. The record is from the annotation of a GenBank genome assembly.